UCGAACGAGAUCUUCGGAUCUAGUGGCGCACGGGUGCGUAACGCGUGGGAAUCUGCCCUUGGGUUCGGAAUAACAGUUAGAAAUGACUGCUAAUACCGGAUGAAGUCUACGGACCAAAGAUUUAUCGCCCAGGGAUGAGCCCGCGUAGGAUUAGCUAGUUGGUGGGGUAAAGGCCUACCAAGGCGACGAUCCUUAGCUGGUCUGAGAGGAUGAUCAGCCACACUGGGACUGAGACACGGCCCAGACUCCUACGGGAGGCAGCAGUGGGGAAUAUUGGACAAUGGGGGCAACCCUGAUCCAGCAAUGCCGCGUGAGUGAUGAAGGCCUUCGGGUCGUANAGCUCUUUUACCCGGGAUGAUAAUGACAGUACCGGGAGAAUAAGCCCGGCUAACUCCGUG
RNAcentral lists this ribosomal RNA (398 nucleotides) under uncultured bacterium. Its description in RNAcentral is "bacterial SSU rRNA". It matches the Rfam family "Bacterial small subunit ribosomal RNA", at positions 62 to 507 of the family's 1533-position model. The record is from RNAcentral.